GAUGAACGCUGGCGGCGUGCUUAACACAUGCAAGUCGAGCGGGCAAUUUAUCUAGCACUGAUUACUUCAAAUGGAAAUCAUAAGUGUAAUCAUGAAUUUCUACCUUUAAUAAAGAAAAAAGAAAUUCAUGUACGCAAAUAGUGAUAACACAUUUUAGUGAAGUGAUGAGUGCUGGAUAAAUUGCUAGCGGCGGACGGGUGCGUAACACGUGGGUAACCUGCCCCUAUCACUGGGAUAACACACUGAAAAGUGUGCUAAUACCAGAUAAUAUAAGCUUUUGGCAUCAUUAGCUUAUCAAAGAAUUUCGGAUAGGGAUGGGCCCGCGUCUGAUUAGCUAGUUGGUGAGGUAACGGCUCACCAAGGCAACGAUCAGUAGCCGACCUGAGAGGGUGAUCGGCCACACUGGAACUGAGACACGGUCCAGACUCCUA
Molecule: ribosomal RNA, 431 nt
Filed under: uncultured bacterium
Lineage: Bacteria
Description: bacterial SSU rRNA
Rfam family: Bacterial small subunit ribosomal RNA
Source: RNAcentral